Molecule: long non-coding RNA, 1608 nt
Organism: Passer domesticus (house sparrow)
Lineage: Eukaryota; Metazoa; Chordata; Aves; Passeriformes; Passeridae
Exons: 2
Source: RefSeq, a predicted model, not a curated record
GCGGCGCUGCCGGGCCUGCCUGUGCGGAGCGCACCGCUGUGGUAUUGCGGCGUAGGUGUCGUGACCCUCGCCAAACCUGGAUAUGACAUUCAUUGUUGGAUUGACAGAUCGGGAUAGCGUAGUUUGAAAGUGAGCUCGGGAGGUGUCUGUUAACCCCCCUGCUCGAAAGAGGGUCAGCCACGAGGUCAGAAAGGGUGGCUUUUCACGGUCGGUUUGUUCGGUUGGCAGGGGCUUUUCCUUCCCUUCAGCGAGGCACACUUGCCCACGUUCACAGAAUCAUAGAAUGUAAAAGAGUUGGAAUAAAGGCCCUUAACGAUCAUCUAACCCCAAUUCCUCUGCUGUGUGAAGAAACGUGUUUCCUGGGCUGUUGGGGUGCACUCCGGCUCCAAGACACACAUCAGGCAGACAAACCCAUGGGAGAAAAGGGUGUUCCCUGGUGGCAGGGAGCUUUUAUACCCCCUGGGAUGGGGACAGAGGGAGAGGUCAAUGGGCCAAUGGGACACCAGUGAGGAGUGGUGAGGGGAGGGGUAACCCAGGGGAGAGACCACCAGGGGGUACCGGGACAGGUGAGGGAAAGGCCAUGUGAUGGGGAAAUGGGGUAACAAACCACAUGAUAUAACAUAAGCUAUACAGUGCAAUACAAAACUAUUCUGUGUAAAUUCCCAAUCACCCAGUGCAAGAGAACAACUAAACUGGUGCACCACAACAGCCGUGAACACGGACCCCUCCCACGAGACCAGGUUGCCCAAGGAUCCCUUCACAUACUGGAAAGUUGCUGUGAGGUUUCCACCUGACUGACUCAGCUUGUCUUUGUAGGGGAGGUGCUCCAGUCCUGUUGUAUUUCAUACAGUUGCUGUCAGCCCCUUUGCUCCAGCCCUGCCCUUGAGCAUGUUCACUGUUCCCCCCAGUUUGGUGCCCUAGGAACGUUUGAUAGCAACCUCCUCCACAUUACUCAUAAACAUGUUAAACUGGACACAUUCCAGAACGCAUCCUUGCUGUGUUCCAUUUGUAACUGCCAUGUGACUGGAGUAUGACCCCCUGGCUUCUAUGCUCUGAGCUCAAUUGUUUAACCAGUUUUUACUGACCUACUAGUGCACCUGUCCAGACUGCAAUGUUCUAGUUUUGCACACUUGCAAAAAUACUGCCUUUGCAGUGCCAGGGUUAUGGUGACAGACCAGACCAGACACAAGACAGAGUAGAAGAAGAAAGUGGAGAAUGUACUGCUGAAAGACCAGGGAAGAUGCACAACGUGAAAUCCUUUUCCAUGGAAGCUAAUACUCAACAUCAUCUCUGUAAAUAACAGCUGUAGAAUAGGCAAAGCUUUACCACUUAAGUGAAGCUUAUGCACUGCAAACAACUAAAGACAAUUGAAUUUAAAAUGGAAAUGAGCUCUACUGUAUCAGUAUGCUGCCAGGCCCACCCCCCACUCAUCGAUGAGGGCAAAAGGGAGAUCUUUUAUGUCCCCGGCCUGAGAAAGUGCAGCUCCUCACUCUAAAAUUCAACUGGUUCCUUAAGAACCUGGCAAAAAAAGUCCAGUAGUGUGUCAAGACACCUGCUUUCCCAAAGCCUGUUUCCACAAAGGCAAUUAAAUCCAAGUUUUACUGUUUA